Molecule: transfer RNA, 66 nt
Filed under: Argyra pingwuensis
Lineage: Eukaryota; Metazoa; Arthropoda; Insecta; Diptera; Dolichopodidae
Description: tRNA-Cys
Rfam family: tRNA
About the family: Transfer RNA (tRNA) molecules are approximately 80 nucleotides in length.
Source: RNAcentral
GGCUUUAUAGUCAUAUUAGUAUGAUAUUAGAUUGCAAAUCUAAAGGAGUAUAAUUUACUAAGGCUU